RNAcentral lists this ribosomal RNA (250 nucleotides) under uncultured prokaryote. RNAcentral describes it as "partial 16S ribosomal RNA". It matches the Rfam family "Bacterial small subunit ribosomal RNA", at positions 524 to 774 of the family's 1533-position model. The record is from RNAcentral.
UACGUAGGGGGCAAGCGUUAUCCGGAAUUAUUGGGCGUAAAGCGUGCGUAGGCGGCUUUUUAAGCGUGGGGUUUAAGGCUAUGGCUCAACCAUAGUAUGCCCUGCGAACUGGAAGGCUUGAGUACAGGAGAGGAAAGCGGAAUUCCUAGUGUAGCGGUGAAAUGCGUAGAUAUUAGGAGGAACACCAGUGGCGAAGGCGGCUUUCUGGACUGAAACUGACACUGAGGUACGAAAGCGUGGGGAGCAAACA